CCCCCCCCCAAAAAAAAAAAGAUAAUGUUUUUAGUGUACACUGUUUCUUUUGUACAAUUACAACUUACUACAUACAUAUACAAAUAUUGACAAUUUUUUUUUCUAUUUUUAGGAUACUUUUUGAUUUCUUGGAAUAGUUUCUUCAAAUCAGAAGUAUACAUUUUGGACAAAUUUUUGUAAACUGGUAUUCAAAUAACUGUUAAUAAACAUGCAAAACACCGCUAUCAAGACAACCAACUGCACAUUUAGUCUUCCUAUUAUAACGGCGAUCUUGAAUGUAGUUCAGAUUUGACGCAAACGUUGCGGCAACUUUUCCAGACAGGGAUAGUCGAAUGACUGUAAGAAAGAAAGCUUAACACCAAGAUCAAGGAUACUUUUUGAUUUCUUGGAAUAGUUUCUUCAAAUCAGAAGCAUACAUCUUGGACAAUUUUUUGUAAACAGGUAUUCAAAUAACUGUUAAUAAACAUGCAAAACACCGCUAUCAAGACAACCAACUGCACAGUUAGUCUUCCUAUUAUAACGGCGAUCUUGUAUGUAGUUCAGGUUUGUGAUUAAUAUUUACUAAACGUUAAAAGUAAAAUAACAAAAAAAUACUUAACUUUGAGGAAAAUCAAUUUGGAAAGUCCAUAAUCACAUGGCAAAACAUAAUACCAAAACGCAUCAAAAACGAAUGGACAAGAACUCAUAUUCCUGACAUGGUACAGGCAUUUUCAAAUUUAGAAAAUGGUGAAUUAAACCUGGUUUCAUAGCGGUAACCCUCUGACUUUGGUGACAGUCUCAUCAAAUUCCGUUAUAUUUACAAAAGCUUUUUUUAUGAGUAAUUACAAAUAAUAUGACGUUUUUUAAUUGCAUGGGAAGUCUUCAACACAUCAGAGCUGGUGACAAAUUAUGCAAAAAAAAAUAGAUAGGCAAUGCUAUUAAUAGAUACAUGUAUCUGCAUUUAUGGAUAUUGAUUAUUUUUGUAAAACAAUUAUUGAUCUGAAACAAAUUUAGUAUAUACGGGUUUCUAUUGUUUUUUGAUAACUUGCUUCAUUAAUAUACAAUUGUUGACGAUUUGUAAUAAUUAAUUUCACAAUAAUUUUAAUACUUAAGGAAUACUCUCAUUAGAUUUGACGCAAAAGUUGCGGCAACUUUUCCAGACAGGGAUAGUCGAAUGACUGUAAGAAAGAAAGCUUAACACCAAGAUCAAGGUAUUUCA
This is a long non-coding RNA of Mytilus trossulus (common blue mussel), 1198 nucleotides long. RefSeq lists it as uncharacterized. The transcript has 3 exons. The record is from RefSeq and is a predicted model, not a curated record. Lineage: Eukaryota; Metazoa; Mollusca; Bivalvia; Mytilida; Mytilidae.